RNAcentral lists this long non-coding RNA (1124 nucleotides) under Ricinus communis (castor bean). Its description in RNAcentral is "long non-coding RNA (RCOM_LNC001278)". The record is from RNAcentral. Lineage: Eukaryota; Viridiplantae; Streptophyta; Magnoliopsida; Malpighiales; Euphorbiaceae.
UGCUCCUAAGCCUAGGGUGGAGCGGACUACAAUGAUGGAUUAUCUAUUCACGGGAAUAAUUCAAUCAAUAAAAAUAAAAUAUUUAAUAAAUAACCCUAGCCUAGACUCCUAGAAUUCUGUCUAAGAAUUUCGACUCGAAAAAAUUCUACUGAAAAUUCGGCAGAACCUUUCUUAAAAUAUGGACGUUUACCCCCGUAUAACGGGUCUAGAACCUGCCAUAAACACUUCUAAUAUUCAUCAAUUAUUUACCAGGAGUCAGGCCACCAAAGCUGCAUUAUUUUUCCCGACUUUGUAACACAACACAACUAAAUAAAAGGUCUUAUAUAAAAUUAUCAUAUUGCUCAAUUUCGAUAGCAUAUAUUUUUAAUUUUCAAAAGAUACUUACACAUGUACCUUAAAUUAUUUUUCUCCAAUAAAUAACCAAUAUAAUUUUUAAAUUAACAAUUUCUAAAAUCAACAUGCUAAAGAAUUACCGAUACGCUUGAUAAAUCGGUUGACUCGCCUUCAGCCGCCACCGGAGUCUGAUUGACAAUCCAAGCGCGCCUACGGACUCAAAACAACAUGUAGACGAUGAUUCUAGCAUCUAAUCUCCGAUCCAUCCUUGAUCAUUCUAAUACAUCACAAACGGUUUGAAUCGUUGAUUUUCGAAUGGAGUCCGAUAAUUGCAAGAUUUGUGCCAUUGGAAAUGACAAGGGGAGUUCAUCCAUGAACUUUGAUCAGCCAAACCUUGCUGGAAGUUGCCGAAAAUCAAGAAAAAAUCCAAAUUGUCCCUAUGAGCUUAUCUCGCCGGAUUUCAAUAUUUCGGCUUAAGGGAUGAAGAUGACCGAAAAAUGAAAGCCCACGAACUGCUGGUCGUUUUGAGACCAUAAACACCAAAAAUGGACGCCGGAAUCACCCUGCACGGCAGUAAGAAGCUGUUGUCGUCUUCCUCAUUUUUCGCUGCCCCUUGCCGCUCGCAGCUAUUGCCGUCACUGCUGCUGCACUCGCCGGCGCCUCCUCUGUCUUCGGUCAACUUCACCGCACCUCAGACAAGCUCACCUCUCAUUUGCCAUUAAUGGGCGUUCCCAAGCUCCCUUUCUCCUCCUCCUUUUUCUUUCUUUUUUCUUUUCUUUCUUUCUUUAAGC